AACGUAGGGUGCAAGCGUUGUCCGGAAUUAUUGGGCGUAAAGAGCUCGUAGGCGGCUUGUCGCGUCGGCUGUGAAAACCUGGGGCUCAACCCCGGGCCUGCAGCCGAUACGGGCAAGCUAGAAUUCGGUAGGGGAGACUGGAAUUCCUGGUGUAGCGGUGAAAUGCGCAGAUAUCAGGAAGAACACCCGUGGCGAAGGCGGCUCUCUGGGACGGUACUGACGCUGAGACGCGAAAGCGUGGGGAGCGAACAGG
RNAcentral lists this ribosomal RNA (253 nucleotides) under uncultured bacterium. RNAcentral's name for it is "partial 16S ribosomal RNA". It matches the Rfam family "Bacterial small subunit ribosomal RNA", at positions 524 to 776 of the family's 1533-position model. The record is from RNAcentral.